UCCCAGUAACAAUACUCCUUCAUCAACUAAUAACAAUAGUGUGCAACCUUGCUCUCUUAAAAAACUACUCAAAACUCAUAAAUUCCAUCCAAUACAAGCAAUAACAGACUUCACUCCAAUCAACUUGGAUUCACAGAAUUUUUAUAAUCACAGACUUACUCAGUCAAAACACAUACACAACUUUCAAUAAACAACAAUCAUAAUCUUCCAUCCAUAAUCAAUCUUCUAAUAACUUCUCAUAUAAUUUAAUCACAUAAUACUCUAAUUACGUAAUCAAUAACUCAUAAAUCAAUCUCUGAUUUAUUCCACAAACUCACUUCUUAGUAUUCAAAAACUAUCCAUUACUCUUCAACAACAAAGACAACAAAGAAAACAAAGAGAUAGCACCAAGCUUAAUCCCGACUCAUAACUAUUACAGUCUGGCCCCUCAAACUAACUUCUACAACUCCUAUAUAAUUGCUAUUGAUUUCUAGAUCCUAAUCGUAAUCCAAUAAUAACCACUUUUAAUAACUAAAUCAACCAUCCAUCCUCUUGAACUGACUAUUCAAUGGACUAUUAAUCUAUUUUACCAAUAUCUUACAAAAAUGAACUAAUAUCUAUUCUACAUAGUCCCACUCCUAUCUGUACAGCAUCCUCACAAAUACACAAUUGAUUCCUAUCUAAAAACUACUUAAUAAAACUCUAUAAUGUUACUAAUUCCUCUGGCCCACCCAAUUAAUCAUUUGCUGCAUUAUCAAAUGUAGGUUCCACUGAUUUUGGUUCUAAAUUCAAAUUUUCUUCCUCGUCCAACCUGUCCAUCGACUCCUUCCUCAACUGGUUUGAUAGAUCUUCAUUAUACUCACGCAAUAUAUGGACUUA
RNAcentral lists this long non-coding RNA (858 nucleotides) under Physcomitrium patens. Its description in RNAcentral is "long non-coding RNA (PPAT_LNC001403)". Lineage: Eukaryota; Viridiplantae; Streptophyta; Bryopsida; Funariales; Funariaceae. The record is from RNAcentral.